This 3634-nucleotide long non-coding RNA is filed under the name Marmota monax (woodchuck). Lineage: Eukaryota; Metazoa; Chordata; Mammalia; Rodentia; Sciuridae. The record is from RNAcentral.
UGAGAAUGGGGCUUCAUGGCAGCUUGGCCUCAUUGGCCCCGAGGCCUCUGCUCAAUUGCAGAUCUCAGAACUGAAAACACAUCAAUCUUCACUCUACAAAUGCCCAAACUGGGCUCCAAGGGAGGAAGGACACCCUGCCUGCAGGCUGGUAAGGGAAGGCUCACCCUGCCCAGCGGUACUGGAACUGGGUAUUCCCAAUAACAAGCUGAGCUCAGGCAGGAGGGAGACACAAGGUAGUGACACCUUGGGGCUGGAGCCAGUGGCUCACUAUUGGUGCUCCCCCUCCUCUCAGUGUCUGAAGGUAGUGCGACAGGGGUCACCCUGAGCACAACAAUAACCUCUAUACAACAGUAUUUUCCAGAUUGAAUUCUCUCAUGUUUACUUUCAAAUUUAAUGACUUUAAUAGUCAUCCAACCUGUUUAUUUUGAUUUGCUGGUAAUAUGUAAACCCUCUUAUUUAACUUUCAUUUUGCUAGCCUAUCCAACGUAAAAUGAACAAUUGCUAAACUGUUUCCUAAUUUUAUAACUUAAAAAUGUCUUUCUUGGAAAAUCUUUUUGAUAUGAAUAAAAUAUCUUUCAGAGCCAUCAUUUAGAGGGGGCUUCUCUCCAACAUGAGCUACCUGAUGUUGAGUAAGGUCUGAACCCUCGCUGACAGCCUUUCCACAUUCUUGACAUUUAUAUGGUUUCUCCCCAGCGUGGCGGCUUCUCUGGUACUCAACGGGUUGUGGGGUAGGGCUGAAAGUCUUCCCACAUUCACUGCACCCCAGGGAUUUCUCACCAGUGUGGAUUGUCCAGUGCAGAAUGAGGUCUGCACCAUGGCUGAAGGCUCUGCCACGUCGCUCUCCAGUGGGCAUCAGGCUGGGGCCACCCUUUCUACGCUGGCGAGGAUUAUCUCCCGUGUGAAUGUGCUGAUGCUGUGUGAGGGUUGACCUCCGGCUAAAGGCCUUCCCACAGGCCCGGCACUCGUAGGGCUUCUCGCCAGUGUGGACACGCUGGUGCAGGGUGAGUUGGGAGCUCUGGCUGAAGGCUUUCCCACACUCAGAGCACUGAUAUGGCUUCUCCCCUGUGUGCACUCUGCGAUGCUGCACCAGAGUGGAACUCCGGCUGAAGGCCCUGCCACACUCACCACACACAUAAGGCUUCUCUCCAGUGUGAAUCCGUGUAUGUUCAGUAAGGUGAGAAUUGAAACCAAAGGCCCGGCCACACUCCUGGCACACGUAGGGCUUUUCUCCAGUGUGGACCCUAUGAUGGAGGAAAAGGCUGGAGCUCUGGCUGAAGGCCUUGCCACACUGACUGCACUUGUGGGGCUUCUCCCCAGUGUGGAUCCUCUGGUGCUGAAUGAGGCUGGAGCUCCGGCUGAAGGCCUUGCCACACUGACUGCACUUGUGCGGCUUCUCCCCAGUGUGGAUCCUCUGGUGCUGAGUUAACUGGGGGCUCUGGCUGAAGGCUUUGCCGCACUCCUCACACUUGUGAGGCUUCUCUCCUGUGUGAAUGACGCGAUGCUGAAUGAGGCUGGAGCUUCGACUGAAGGCUUUCCCACAUUCACUGCACCCAAAGGGUCUUUCUCCAGUGUGAAUUCUCCGAUGCAGAAUGAGGUAGGAAUUGAGCCCAAAAGUCUUCCCACAUUCUUCACAUUUAAACGGUUUGCUGCCAGUGUGGACUCGGCGGUGCAGGAUGAGGCUCGCGCUGUGUGUGAAGGCUCGCCCACACCAACUGCACUCAUAGGGCUUUUCCCCUGUGUGGCGCCUAUGAUGUCGACGGAGGUCUGAAUUAUAUUUGAAGGUUUUGCUGCAUAUAUCACAUUUAAAGACUCUCUCUCCUGUUUUAUUCCUUUGAAGUCUAACAACAUUUUGGUUUGGAUUUAAAUGUCUAUCAACAUUUAAAGAACACUCCUGGACACUCUCUCUUGGAGGCUGCUCCCUACAUAGGACAGAUUCCUCUCUAAAAACUCUAUUGUGCAGAUGGGGUUUCUUCAGACUCUGGCCAGCAGUGUUUCCCAGGCUCCCUUUUCCCUUCCCCUCCAGGUCCCAAGGAUCCUGGAACACAGGUGUCUGUGAAUUGGCCCUUGAGAAUCUUCUUGAUACAAAUGCUGGGCUCUUCACAUCUUCAGAACACUCCUGGUUUAAAAUGGACAGUUCCUUCUCAGUCCCAGUAUCAGAAUCUGUUACACAAAACAUAAAGGAAUUACUAGAGGACACCACUGUUCAGCAACACUCUUACACAGAUCCUUACUUGGAAGGCAGAUGUUCCAGUAGCAGAUGUGCUAUGCAUGACUCAGGAGCGCAAGAGGCAAAAUGGCCAGUCACAGGAUGAAAGCUCAGUCCACCAGGUACCACAGGAGGGAAACUCAAGCAAAUUAUGAUUUUUUCACCUAUCAAACUAGCAAAUGAAUCUGCCAACAGGCUGCUCCAGGUAAGGAACACAAUAGGAAGCCAGAGAGCCUCUGGUCUCAGGAAGCUCACUGUAUAUUGAGGAAGAAAAUCAAAUACUUUUUUUUUUUUUUUUAAAUGAAAUAACACAGAGGCUGGGAUUGUGGCUCAGCGGUAGAACGCUCGCCUAGCACUUGCGAGGCCCUGGGUGCGGUCCUCAGCACCACAUAAAAAUAAAUAAAAUAAAGGCAUUUUGUUCAACUACACCUAAAAAAAAUAAUAUUAAAAAAAUGAAAUAACAUGGAUAAUGGAAACUAUUGAAAAUACAGAACCAUCUCCUGCAGCCUAUGUGGUCAGAAGAUCCCAGGAGCAUGCGUGGCUUCAGAGGGAGCAAGAGCCAAUGGGUCAGCAGUUGCAGAAGGCAGGCCUGGGUGAGAUGGAGAACCACCAAGUCCAGGAAUGCAAGGAGCCUGCCACGGCUAGAGCAAGAAGGCGGGUGGAGGUUGCUGUGCUGCGUUGAUUCCCACACAGAGAAGUAAAGGAAUAAUUCCUGUCCUGUACUGUGGGAUGGACUAUAAAUAAAUAGAGCUUUUUAAAGGGAAAGUUGGUAACACAUAGCAAAAGAAUUAAUAUUACACACCUUUGUUCCCAAAAUUGUUCUUCAAGAGUCUAUGCUAAGUCAACUGUCAUUUGCACAAAGAAAUGAUUAUUAUGACCAUCCCUGAAAUGUUCUCCCUAAUUAUGGGGAAACAAGAAAGAAUUCAAAUAUUCAAAAAACAGAGGACAGGGCUGGGUGUGGCACAGUGAUAGAGCACUUGCCUGGCAUGCAGGAGGCCCUAGGUUUAUCUCCAGCACUGCAAAAAAAAAGAAAGAAAAAAAAAGAGUAUUGUUUAAGUCAGCGAUAGACGAGUCAUAUAAUGGAAUACCUUUCUGACAUUAUAAUUAUAUAAUAGAAUAUAUAGUUAAAGGAAAAGUCUAUGACAUAAACUGAAAAAUCAGUUUCUAAAAUAAUACACACAGCAUAAACCAACUUUAACUGAAAAUACAUAUGGAAGAUAAGUGCUAUUUCUUCCUUAAAUGUUUGGUAUAAGCUGGCGAAACCAUCUGGGCUUGGCAUUUUCUCUGAGAUAGGAAUUUUAUUUACUGAACCAAUUUCUUUAAUACUUAAAAGAUCAUGUAUUAAUGCUUUCUUGUGUCAACCUUGACAAAUUGUGUUUUCUGGGCAAACUGUGUUUUAUCUCCAUAUUAAAACUUCUUGGCAUUAAA